GAUCAUGGCUCAGGAUGAACGCUAGCGACAGGCUAACACAUGCAAGUCGAGGGGCAGCAUAAAAGUAGCAAUACUUGGUGGCGAUCGGCGCGACGGGUGAGUAACGCGUAUGCAACCUACCUAUCAGAGGGGAAUAACCCGGCGAAAGUCGGACUAAUACCGCAUAAAACAGGGGCACCGCAUGGUGAUAUUUGUUAAAGAAAUUCGCUGAUAGAUGGGCAUGCGUCCAUUAGGUAGUUGGUGAGGUAACGGCUCACCAAGCCGACGAUGGAUAGGGGAACUGAGAGGUUGGUCCCCCACACUGGUACUGAGACACGGACCAGACUCCUACGGGAGGCAGCAGUGAGGAAUAUUGGUCAAUGGGCGGGAGCCUGAACCAGCCAAGUCGCGUGAAGGAAGAAGGAUCUAUGGUUCGUAAACUUCUUUUGCAGGGGAAUAAAGUGCAGGACGUGUCCUGUUUUGUAUGUACCCUGAGAAUAAGGAUCGGCUAACUCCGUGCCAGCCGCCGC
Molecule: ribosomal RNA, 509 nt
Filed under: uncultured bacterium
Lineage: Bacteria
Description: bacterial SSU rRNA
Rfam family: Bacterial small subunit ribosomal RNA
Source: RNAcentral